Molecule: long non-coding RNA, 3254 nt
Organism: Sparus aurata (gilthead seabream)
Lineage: Eukaryota; Metazoa; Chordata; Actinopteri; Spariformes; Sparidae
Source: Ensembl
AAAUGUCAAGCUCCACAGAGAAUCUGAGCAGUGCUGUUAGGGCCAAAAGUGCAGUUUUAGAGCCCCAGGAUCUGAGAGAAAAAAAUGAUUUGCAAAUGCCCAAAUAUGUCUAAUUGACCUGAAAUAUAGCCUGUGUGCAGGAACUGUUUGAAAUCAAUAUGGAGAGCGAAAAAAAUAUCCUUGAAGGAACAUUUCAGAAGAUCAUACCGCAUGUCUUUCGAAGCAGCAUUAUGAAGUAUGCAAGAAUUAUGAAAACAAUCAAGAAGUCAUGAAAGGUCAUGUAAAUUAAAACUACAGCGGUUGCGGCAAAUUAACGAGGAGUGCGGAACAGCUGUUUUUCACCAGUAUAACAGCAGCACACUGAGCAUUGCUGUAGAUUAUGUGAAUAUUUUGUAGACAUGGACGCCAUUUGUGAGUGAAUUCACACAUAAUGUAUUCCCCCUGUAUUUAUUCAUUGUGUGUCUUUAGUGAGGUAAAUCAAUAAGCAGUAUUCCCAGCCUUGAUUGGAUUCACAAUUAGCUCUAGAAAGAGACUCCCUGACAGUAGGCAUGUUGGAUUCAGAACAACUAACCUGAUUGUCUUUCCCUCACAUCAACCGCCAGUCCACGCCAUCCUCUCUGCUGUCCAGGUGCCUUGUGGGUAACGGUGAGGACUGGAGUGAAGUUCCUCCCGUGUGGCAGGUGGGCCGUGACAGCUCCAAGAUGCUCUUUGACCUGAGAGGAAGGGAAAACAACAUCAAUGGGUGAAGCAUCACUCAAGGAUUUGACUGAUCUUCUCACAGAAUCAAUCAUUUUGUGUGCCGUGGGGGUAUGUUUUCAAAAGUGUGCCUUGGUACUGAGAACACUGAGAAUCACUGUGUUAGAAAAGAGCAAUUGAAGGUAAGGAGCUUUUAAGAAAGAGUUGCUGGAUCUUUGAGAACAUUCUUGAGGCCCUUUUCCCCUCUUUUGGAGAAACCCAGGCAGAUAAAAGGAAACACUCGGGUGGAUUAAAGUGUUCAGAAUGUAUCAGCAUCAAACCACUAGAGUUUUUGCCCUCUACAUUUUUCAAACACAGUCAAUAGAUCUAAAUAUUUUACUGUGCCCUGGCCGAUUUAUUGUUUGAUGUUUAAAAACUUGUGUGGAAUGAAAGAAAAUUCAUUAAAGAAGAUGGCCCCAGAACGAGGCCUUACGAUCAGCUUUGAAAGUCUAGUUUAACUGGGAUAUUGAUCAUUCUCUUUCUUCUGUGACAAAGGCCACCAGGGACGCUGGAGGUGUCGGUGGAUGAAGGCGCGCUGCCAAUAACACCAGACAUGUGUGUAUACACUGUAGGUGAGGCUGGGAAUUGCACUACUGACACUGAAAAAUCCAAUAACUCAAAAAUGACCAAACAAACAUCACACUCUUGAUUCCACGCCGGUCAAAAGAAGAUGCAGUCUAUAUCCUGGUUUAGAUGAAGCAAUGUGCACUUCUGAUUUUUAAGAUGCAUGACAGAUAAGACUGCGAUAUUUGUGGACUUAAUAAUAGAGCUUAGUGAGUCAACUGUGCCUCUUUUUCAUUGAGCAACCAAACAUUUAUAGGGGAAUUUGAUCUGAUCGCACUUACAGCUCUUAAUCAGGAGCUGUUCCACCACUGACAAUGAUUACUGACACUGAUAGGAAUUCACAAAUGAGAGCUAUCAUAAAAGAAAUGUCUUGUAUUCAGGUUCUAUUCUAGUGGAUAUUCCCUUUAGGUUGUCCAAAGUCAGUAUGCCUGAGGGUGAACUUUAAAACAUUCAGGCUUUACUGCAGGUAUAGGUAUAGCUAUACCCUUCACGGUCGACAAAAUCGUCACUGUACCAAAAAAGUCCUCCGCACAAGCUGGAAACACAACAUAGAUUUCUGACAGAGGAGAAAGCUCCAUCAUAGAAAUCUUUUUUUAAAUGUAUAUUACAGAAAUUCUGCACAGUAAAGCAAAACUUGAUAUGCUUAAGUAAUUCCAGCUUAGAUUGCCAUCAAAGAUAACUCCUUAAAUGUCUGGCAACUUUCUUGACAUCAGGAGACAGACUAACCACAGCAUAAUUAAUUAAAUCUUGGGAACAUGCGGGGCAAAGAGUUCUUUUCCCUGAGCUACAAAAAAUAUUAGACAAGCGAGACUUGAUAACUGUCAGAAGGUACUUUGAAGAUGGCCAGGCUAUUUAGACUGAUACUUUAAAGACAGAUAUAACGACAUAUCAUCAGUGCAUCAGUGUCAGAAGAAAAUCUGCAGGUUGUGCAAUUUGUAGAAGUUCUGAAAAUGCAAAUUGCAUACCCCAUAUCCCUGUAUGUGUAUAAGAUCAAACAUAAUCAAAACAUGAAAUUAAAUUUUGACCAUGAAGCUAAUCAUAGCAAAGUAAUGUUUGUGUGAGAAUGUAAAUACAUGUAAGCAACGUAGAAAACAAAUUACAUGAUUGCAGUGCAUUCAUCAUCCUUCGUACAGGCCUGCACACAGAGGUGAUUAAGCUGGUUUCCCCUUGACACUGACACAUUGGGGAGAUGCAGUUUCCUAAAAAAGUUCAGCUUUCAUUUUAGAUUAAUAUAUAUGCCUUUUAAAAUAUUUCCCCAAUUUGAUCAGGACAACCAACGAGAGUUUGAAAGAGCUCACAGAGAGAGGAUACAAUAAUUUGGAAAAUAAUGUAUUUUCUAAUGAAUUAUAAUAAACAUUACAAAGCAAAUUACAGAGCAAAUUAUGGUUGUUUUUUUCAAGACUACAGUUUUCAGUGUGUGGAGAAAGGGAUUGAAUUUCACACAUAUCAGUGCAGCUCCUGACCCAAAUCAUGGAAAUAGCAGAAUACCUUGCCUUGCCUUAAUUCUAUAAAGGACUAGUGAGAUAAUGAUGUGUGAGCAGAAUGCUUACACAAUCUAUGUUAUGAAAUUGUGAGAUGUUAACAGGACAGCCCUUUCAUUUUUACAGUGUUUUAAUUUGUUUUUCACUGCAUCAAUACAUUGUUGUUUCGAUAAUGGCUCUAUAAUGUAUAAUUCAACAUAAAACUUCUCUGCUUUUCUGAUUAGGCACAUGAAAAACAAUCUUGUUUGCAAGAAAUGACCCUCCUUCAAAAAUUGAAUCAGUUUUUGGCACAGCUGUGACCAUGCAACUUGGCCAGUUUACAUAAAAAUGCACCUCUUCUCUUUCCAAGCAUCAGUUACUGAUUUCCAUAUUUUCCUGCUCCAACCAUGACUCUAAUCUCAAGGUCUGUGUGUUUCAGUAUGGCAACAAUUCCUAUAAGACUAUAUCUCCCACAAUAAUCUGAAAUGGACUAAA